GAUGAACGCUAGCGGGAGGCCUAACACAUGCAAGCCGAGCGGUAUUUGUUCUUCGGAACAGAGAGAGCGGCGCACGGGUGCGGAACACGUGUGCAACCUGCCUUUAUUUGGGUGUUAGCCUUUCGAAAGGAAGAUGAAUACCCCAUAAUAUAUUGAGUGGCAUCACUUGAUAGUGAAAACUCCUGUGGAUAGAGAUGGGUACGCGCAAGAUUAGAUAAUUGGUGAGUUAACGGCUCACCAAGUCAAUGAUCUUUAGGGGGCCUGAGAGGGUGAUCCCCCACACUGGUACUGAGACACGGACCAGACUGCUACGGGCGGCAGCAGUGAGGAAUAUUGGACAAUGGGUUAGCGCCUGAUCCAGCCAUCCCGCGUGAAGGACGACGGCGCUAUGGGUUGUAACCUUCUUUUGUAUAGGGAUAAACCUACUCUCGUGAGAGUAGCUGAAGGUACUAUACGAAUAAGCACCGGCUAACUACGUG
This 479-nucleotide ribosomal RNA is filed under the name uncultured bacterium. RNAcentral describes it as "partial 16S ribosomal RNA". It matches the Rfam family "Bacterial small subunit ribosomal RNA", at positions 28 to 507 of the family's 1533-position model. The record is from RNAcentral.